RNAcentral lists this long non-coding RNA (1104 nucleotides) under Androctonus crassicauda. Lineage: Eukaryota; Metazoa; Arthropoda; Arachnida; Scorpiones; Buthidae. The record is from RNAcentral.
AACAAAUUCAAAAUGUUUUAUGAUAUUUAAGAUAGUGAAUAUCAUUAAAAAAUUUAUUAUUAUUUCGUUUCUUCUAAAAGCUAUCAUCCCAUUUUUAUCUGUAGUAAAUUACUUUUCUAAAAAAGUGCUUAUAAGCAGCUACGUUAAAGCUCGAGUUAUCCGAACUUUUUUGACGCUAUUUAUUAAUUCACUAGUAUAUAAUCCUGUCGAUGACAGGGAGUUGAACCAUACCUCUUCAAAGAUGAUUAAAAUAUUCUUAUUAAUGGCAGAUUGAUCACUAUCUUUUACUUCAAUUCUGAAUCUGUUCAUUAUUAAAGAACGAACUGAAGUUCUGUAUAAACUGUUCAUGGAAUCCCCACCGAUUAAUACUCACCGGUGGAUUGUGCUAACACCGCUGUCUACUCGGUGAGACGCUUCAGUGCUGACCACGGACCACCCAUAUUUCUGGUGGGUUCAGCCUUGAGGUGGAAGUUAUGGUUCAACGGAUUCGAGUUUUGAUCCCUUCUGAAAAAAUUUUGGAGGCGUAGGACCUGGUUGCUCACAUCAGUGAAGGCAGACUGUUGAUAGUAGCCGGGUUUAGAGCACUAAAUACUUUCCAAGAGAUAAGUCCAGGAAUUGAUUCUAAGUCCUUGAAUGGAAAAUAAUAGCGUUUCCAUAUGGCCAAUCCGAUCACAACACAACACCGAACUAAAUUAAAAUAUCCGUUGAAUUUUGGCAGAUGUAUUGAAUCUAUCAUUUUUUAAUUUGAAAAAACUAUUAUCAGAUUCGUAAUCUAUCACCUCAAAAAUUUUCAGAUAUUGAUUUUCUUCAAAAUAGAACUAAUAAAAAAUCAAAUUUGGUCCGCCACUUUUUUAAGUAUUAUUUUUUCAAUUAAUAUGUGUAGGAUUAUUUUUCUCCAAGUAAAACACUUAAAUGAUCGAGAAAUGACGAUUUUUAAGCCAUAAACUAAACAUUGGAGACAUAGCUUCCCCAUUUUUUUACCUCUUCAAUAAUUCCAGGUUGUCUGAUUUUUCUGAAUCAGUUCAAUAGUCCCUCUUUAGCAUCUCCAAAUAUCAGCUUUAUAAAUUGCAGAAAGUAUUCAUAUUUGUGUAGAGAAAAGUGGUC